RNAcentral lists this non-coding RNA (48 nucleotides) under bovine gut metagenome. RNAcentral also lists the same sequence under 1 other name. The record is from RNAcentral.
CGGUGGACAGAUUUGACUGCUUGCAACCACGCUAAAAAAUGCUAAAAC